RNAcentral lists this long non-coding RNA (671 nucleotides) under Taeniopygia guttata (zebra finch). RNAcentral describes it as "lncRNA (ENSTGUG00000024476.1)". Lineage: Eukaryota; Metazoa; Chordata; Aves; Passeriformes; Estrildidae. The record is from RNAcentral.
GUGUUUUAGUACAUAUUGUUGUGUUUUUUUGAAGAUUUUUUUUGUGUACUGUCAAACUACGAUUCUCAUUUUCCUACUAUUUUUCUCAGAAAGCUGUACUUGCUAACAUCAAACAGAAUUUCAAAUUUUGCUAAUGGUGUGAUGUAGAGGGAGUUUUAACUGAAAAUCUAAAUGUUCCUAUUAUCAGUAUUUUUCUCCUACAGAACAUGAAAACAGUGUUCAUCUUUUCAUUUAAGGUGUUUUUGACACAUUGAAUGCUUCAGUUAUGGGAAGAUUUCUGGUAUCUUUAAGCAUUUUCAUUUGAAAUGGGGUCUAGAGUCCACUGAUUUUGUUAACUUUAUGUUUGUAUGCUUUAUAUUUGUGUGCACAGGCUAAAUCAGAGACUCACAGGAGCUCCUAUAGAUUCCUUGGCUGAAUUACUGAAAAUGCAUCUCAGGACUCCGAGACCUGUGUAUGGUCAUGCACAGUCAAAUGAAAGAAGACCCUAAAAGUAAGCCAACUGCUGGAGGAGUGCUGUGGAUGCCUGAUGCUCCUUCUGUUACUCUCUGCUGUGGAACUGGGAGUAGUGAUGCAGAAACUGUUUUGGACUGAGUAAUUUGGCCUGAGAUGAAGAAGGUGACCUGUGUCAGAUUCAUUGGCUAGGAAUAAUAUAAAGGUACAUCCAAUAUGAA